CGUCAAUGUGGCGAGCAGGACUCCGGCGCAGAGGAGUCGAGAGGAGCGCUGCAUUCAGGGAGGCUCCGACGCGCUCGUUUCUCCGCGCACGACGCCCCGGAUGGCCGCUUAACCGCCCGCGCGAUCCCUGCUUCACACGCGCGCCGCGUGACGCGACCAAGCGGAUAUUUGCGCUCACUUUUGCCGGAGUCGCAGACAGAAGCGCUACAACAUGAAAUACAAAGCUUUCGACGGCGGACGUUUAUACUGUCUGUGAUCAGGCGAGACGGCGGGGGAAGAGAAGAGAGCCGGGUCGGCGUGUGAGCCACAGAGGGGAGGGGCUCGGACAGCCGGGGGGCUUCGGGCGGCGCAUCGAGUUCCACGUGCACGUUUCCUCGCUUUCUGAUGGCAAAAACAUAAGAGGCCGUGAAGCCGUCCUCGAAACCAGAUGUUGCAGGCCAGGACAUUUGUCAAUAAUGACAAUAAAGCUGUUUAGUAUUAAAGAAAAUAUUUCAGUUGUUUCUUUUCUGGAAAAAGUGCAUUUUUCUUGUAAACGUGUAAAAUCCAGUUAAGUUAAAUUAAGGUAAAAUCACAAACUUUCUUAUUAAAGUACAUUUGAAGAAUGCAAUGUAAGACAAAACAUAUAUAAAUAUUAAAAUAUAUAAAAGUAUUACCAUUUGAAAUAACCCCC
Long non-coding RNA from Gasterosteus aculeatus aculeatus (three-spined stickleback), 670 nucleotides. The record is from Ensembl. NCBI's taxonomy places the organism in Eukaryota, Metazoa, Chordata, Actinopteri, Perciformes, Gasterosteidae.